GAAGCUGGAAUUGCUAGUAAUGGCAGGUCAGCAUACUGCCGUGAAUACGUUCCCGGGCCUUGUACACACCGCCCGUCACACCAUGAGAGUUGGAGAUACCCGAAGCCUAUGAGCUAACUUUUAGAGGCAGUAGUCGAAGGUAGAAUCAAUGAUUGGGGUGAAGUCGUAACAAGGUAUC
RNAcentral lists this ribosomal RNA (178 nucleotides) under uncultured bacterium. Its description in RNAcentral is "partial 16S ribosomal RNA". It matches the Rfam family "Bacterial small subunit ribosomal RNA", at positions 1322 to 1500 of the family's 1533-position model. The record is from RNAcentral.